UUCCUUGAAAUCAACGUCGUCACGCCAUUUUCACCCUGCUGGCAGCGCCGCACCUUGUAUAAAGUUUUGUAAAUAUGUUCAAUUUGUUAAUAUUUUAAUAGGUUUAGUAUUGUAAAUAUGUUAAAUGCGUUGCUUGUUACGAAUGAAAGGCGUUAAAUCAUGUAAUGUAACAGUGGCGUAUACAUGUAUAAUUGUUGGAAAGAUAAGCACACCGAAUAUUACCAUCGCGUUCAAAUAUCACGGUUACAGAUAUUAUUGGAAGAAGGACAUGUAAAUAUCGCGCAUUUAGGUUAAACCUUUAUUUUGCUAUUUCUUCUUCAUGUACGCUCCGAAUACCGAAGCCGUAACUCGAAUAGCAGCGUGGUUCGUCCGCGCGCACGUUGUCGCUAGGACGAAUCGAGCGGUUUGGUGGGCGCGAGGCGCGAGACGCGGUACAACUCGUAAACACCAAAUUCUUGCGUGAACCGAGUCGCGAAAUCUCGAAGACUUUUUCUAUAAACUGGCGACGAUCACGUGGUUCUAAGAUCCUUUGUCUCCAAAGCUUCUAGAACGUUCCACCGAGUUUACGUGGUCGAGCAAGACACGAGCCUUCUCACUUCUCAUCGUACAGUCGCACGAAGCGCGAUAUUAGUCCGAGCGAGCUAAAUUGAGCAUAGUUGUAUUACCGUGAACUUAGUAGUAUUAUACGAAGGCGACCAGAACAACUCAGAACAUCGAGACCAGCGUUUUUCUCGAUUUGUAUUGUAAAGGUAUUUAGUGAAAAACGAGAAAGAAAGCAUGGUAUUGCAACCGGUAACGUGGCAAUGUAACUGCGGAUGAACCAGUUAAAUCUCCCAGUAGCGACACGGUACCUACACAACUACCCGCGGGCUGGAAAAUUGAACUACACGUAAACGCCAGCGCCGCGCCGGACGCGGGCUUCAACUUUCCAGCUAAUAUAAUAUUAUGCUUGAUGUUUUUCUCUUAAUAUAAUUUAGAGUAAUACCUAUCGCAAUAUGGAGUUUAAUAACUGUCUAUAUGGAUAUAAACUCAGUUUUCCUUUCCUAUGAUAUUCUUUCCUUUUUGAUCUAUAACUAAAUUUGUACAAAAGGGAAUGAAAGAAAAUGAUAAACUUCAUAAUUAGAUUAAAACAGAAUGUUCCA
Molecule: long non-coding RNA, 1142 nt
Organism: Hylaeus volcanicus
Lineage: Eukaryota; Metazoa; Arthropoda; Insecta; Hymenoptera; Colletidae
Exons: 4
Source: RefSeq, a predicted model, not a curated record